This 2189-nucleotide ribosomal RNA is filed under the name Rhodospirillaceae bacterium SYSU D60006. RNAcentral's name for it is "bacterial LSU rRNA". It matches the Rfam family "Bacterial large subunit ribosomal RNA", at positions 3 to 2006 of the family's 2925-position model. Lineage: Bacteria; Pseudomonadati; Pseudomonadota; Alphaproteobacteria; Rhodospirillales; Rhodospirillaceae. The record is from RNAcentral.
UCAAGUUUCGAAGAGCAAACGGUGGAUGCCUUGGCAUCUGGAGCCGAAGAAGGACGUAGUAAUCUGCGAUAAGCCUCGGGGAGCCGAUAAACGGGCUGUGAUCCGAGGAUUUCCGAAUGGGGAAACCCCGCCAGCGCGCGUGCGUAGCUGGUGACUCCCGCCUGAAUAUAUAGGGCGGGUAGAGGGAACGUGGGGAAGUGAAACAUCUCAGUACCCACAGGAAGAGAAAACAACAUGUGAUUCCGGUAGUAGUGGCGAGCGAACCCGGAUGAGGCUAAACCGGUGGUGUGUGAUACCUGGCAGGGGUUGCAUCAUCGGGGUUGUGGGACGUUUCAAGGAGCGCUGCCAUGCUUCUAGCGUGAAUGUUCAGGUUAUAGGGGAACCGCUUGGAACGGCGGACCGGAGUGGGUGAGAGUCCCGUACCCGAAAUGAUCUGGCUGCGCGAGGCGUAUCCCAAGUAGCACGGGGCCCGAGAAAUCCCGUGUGAAUCUGUCAGGACCACCUGAUAAGCCUAAAUACUCCCAGAUGACCGAUAGCGGACUAGUACCGUGAGGGAAAGGUGAAAAGUACCCCGGGAGGGGAGUGAAAUAGUACCUGAAACCGUUUGCUUACAAUCCGUUGGAGCAGCCUUGUUGCUGUGACAGCGUGCCUUUUGAAGAAUGAGCCUGCGAGUUAGCGAUAUGUGGCGAGGUUAACCCGUGUGGGGAAGCCGUAGCGAAAGCGAGUCUGAAUAGGGCGAUUCAGUCGCAUGUCCUAGACCCGAAGCGAAGUGAUCUAUCCAUGGCCAGGCUGAAGCGCGUGUAAGAGCGCGUGGAGGGCCGAACCCACUUAGGUUGAAAACUGAGGGGAUGAGCUGUGGAUAGGGGUGAAAGGCCAAUCAAACUUCGUGAUAGCUGGUUCUCUCCGAAAUGCAUUUAGGUGCAGCGUUGCGUGUUUCUUGCCGGAGGUAGAGCUACUGGAUGGCCGAUGGGCCCUACAAGGUUACUGACGUCAGCUAAACUCCGAAUGCCGGUAAGUGAGAGCGCAGCAGUGAGACUGUGGGGGAUAAGCUUCAUAGUCGAGAGGGAAACAACCCAGAUCACCAUCUAAGGUCCCAAAGCGCGUGCUAAGUGGAAAAGGAUGUGGAGUUGCUGUGACAACCAGGAGGUUGGCUUAGAAGCAGCCACCCUUGAAAGAGUGCGUAAUAGCUCACUGGUCAAGUGAUUCCGCGCCGACAAUGUAACGGGGCUCAAGCACGCCACCGAAGUUGUGGCAUUCAUAUAACAGGUAGGCCUUCGUGGUCCAGCCGUAUGGAUGGGUAGGAGAGCGUCGUGUGGCGAGUGAAGCGGCGGUGUGAACCAGCCGUGGAUGCCACACGAGUGAGAAUGCAGGCAUGAGUAGCGAAAGACGGGUGAGAAACCCGUCCUCCGGAAGACCAAGGGUUCCAGGGUCAAGCUAAUCUUCCCUGGGUAAGUCGGGACCUAAGGCGAGGCCGACAGGCGUAGUCGAUGGACAACGGGUUGAUAUUCCCGUACCGGCUGGUAACCGUUCAAGACCUAACUAGUAGUGCUAAGCAAACCAAAGCUUCAUGGAUCCUUCGGGUGAUGUGGGGUGGCGGCUGCGAACCCGAACUGGGGUGGUGAGCGUGAGGUGUGACGCAGGAAGGUAGGUGAUCCCGGGCGAUGGUUGUCCCGGGCUAAGCAUGUAGCCUGCGGGAUAGGCAAAUCCGUCCCGCAUAUAAGGGUGAGAUGCGAUGGGGACCCGUAUGGGGAAGUCAUUGAUCCUAUGCUGCCGAGAAAAGCAUCGACGUGAGGUUGCUAGUUGCCCGUACCCCAAACCGACACAGGUGGUCAGGUAGAGAAUACUAAGGAGCUCGAGAUAAUUAUGGUGAAGGAACUCGGCAAAAUGCCCCCGUAACUUCGGGAGAAGGGGGGCCAUCCGCCUAUUAGGAUUUACUCCGAAAGGGUGUGGUGGCCGCAGAGACCAGUGGGGAACGACUGUUUACUAAAAACACAGGUCCGUGCUAACACGCAAGUGGACGUAUACGGACUGACGCCUGCCCGGUGCUGGAAGGUUAAGAGGAGCGGUUAGCAGACUUGUCUGCGAAGCUGUGAAUUUAAGCCCCAGUAAACGGCGGUGGUAACUAUAACCAUCCUAAGGUAGCGAAAUUCCUUGUCGGGUAAGUUCCGACCUGCACGAAUGGCGUAACG